RNAcentral lists this ribosomal RNA (817 nucleotides) under Phytophthora heveae. RNAcentral's name for it is "eukaryotic LSU rRNA". It matches the Rfam family "Eukaryotic large subunit ribosomal RNA", at positions 40 to 685 of the family's 3401-position model. Lineage: Eukaryota; Oomycota; Peronosporomycetes; Peronosporales; Peronosporaceae. The record is from RNAcentral. RNAcentral also lists the same sequence under 3 other names.
AUAUCAAUAAGCGGAGGAAAAGAAACUAACAAGGAUUCCCCUAGUAACGGCGAGUGAAGCGGGAUGAGCUCAAGCUUAAAAUCUCCGUGCAAGUUUUGCACGGCGAAUUGUAGUCUAUAGAGGCGUGGUCAGCGUGGGCACUUGGGGCAAGUUCCUUGGAAGAGGACAGCAUGGAGGGUGAUACUCCCGUUCAUCCCUGAGUUGCUCGUGCGUACGACCCGUUUUCUUUGAGUCGCGUUGUUUGGGAAUGCAGCGCAAAGUAGGUGGUAAAUUCCAUCUAAAGCUAAAUAUUGGUGCGAGACCGAUAGCGAACAAGUACCGUGAGGGAAAGAUGAAAAGAACUUUGAAAAGAGAGUUAAAGAGUACCUGAAACUGCUGAAAGGGAACCGAAUCGUUUCCAGUGUCUAUAAUCCGUGGCAUAUUUCAUUGGCGAGUGUGUGCGUGCGUGUGCUGUGGCAGUGGCUUUUUUGGCUGCGCUCGGUGUGUGUGCUGUGUGUGCUUGCUGGUGCCCUGUGCUGCGGUGGGACGUCAAGGUCAGUUCGUAUGCUGCGGGAAAUGGCUGCCGAGGAGGUAGGGCUUACGCUUGCGUUUGUCUGUUAUAUCUUGGUGGACGAGUCGUCGCGGUUGGGACUGAGGUGCCUACAACGUGCUUUUGAGUGGGUUUGUGUCUUCGUGUGCGCCGUGUGCGGAUAGCUUGCUAUGCGUGUGUGGUUGUGUGUGGAUUGAUGCGGGCUUUAACUUGUUGCCGUUCGGGACGUUGACGAAAUGGAGCGAUCCGACCCGUCUUGAAACACGGACCAAGGAGUCUAACAUGUGU